AAAACAGCCCUUUUUAGGGCUAUCAAAUUUUUUUAUAAAGAGUUUU
Molecule: non-coding RNA, 46 nt
Organism: Phlebotomus papatasi
Lineage: Eukaryota; Metazoa; Arthropoda; Insecta; Diptera; Psychodidae
Source: Rfam